This is a long non-coding RNA of Quercus lobata, 215 nucleotides long. RefSeq lists it as uncharacterized. The transcript has 4 exons. The record is from RefSeq and is a predicted model, not a curated record. Lineage: Eukaryota; Viridiplantae; Streptophyta; Magnoliopsida; Fagales; Fagaceae.
GUCUGGAGGAUUUCCCUCAUGGGUAAUUGCAUCCUCAAACUUACAACUGAAUUUGGUGGCAAACAACUUCAUAUUUGACAAAUCAAACAUAAGUGUUAUGCCAGGACUGAAUUGCCUCCAGAGAAAUUUCCCAUGCAAUAGGAAUUCUCCACUUUCAUGGUAUUAUGUAACUAAUACAGAAAAAUGGGCAGUCAGCAAUGUGGGGCUGUUUGCAG